CAGCCGCCGCGGGAAUACGUAGGUGGCAAGCGUUGUCCGGAAUUAUUGGGCGUAAAGGGCUCGCAGGCGGUUUCUUAAGUCUGAUGUGAAAGCCCCCGGCUCAACCGGGGAGGGUCAUUGGAAACUGGGAAACUUGAGUGCAGAAGAGGAGAGUGGAAUUCCACGUGUAGCGGUGAAAUGCGUAGGGAUGUGGAGGAACACCAGUGGCGAAGGCGACUCUCUGGUCUGUAACUGACGCUGAGGAGCGAAAGCGUGGGGAGCGAACAGGAUUAGAUACCCCAGUAGUCCCUGUCUCUUAUAC
RNAcentral lists this ribosomal RNA (301 nucleotides) under uncultured bacterium. RNAcentral's name for it is "partial 16S ribosomal RNA". It matches the Rfam family "Bacterial small subunit ribosomal RNA", at positions 509 to 807 of the family's 1533-position model. The record is from RNAcentral.